AUACGUAGGGGGCUAGCGUUAUCCGGAAUUACUGGGCGUAAAGGGUGCGUAGGUGGUUUCUUAAGUCAGAAGUGAAAGGCUACGGCUCAACCGUAGUAAGCUUUUGAAACUAAGAGACUUGAGUGCAGGAGAGGAGAGUAGAAUUCCUAGUGUAGCGGUGAAAUGCGUAGAUAUUAGGAGGAAUACCAGUUGCGAAGGCGGCUCUCUGGACUGUAACUGACACUGAGGCACGAAAGCGUGGGGAGCAAACAGGAUUAGAUACCCUGGUAGUCCACGCCGUAAACGAUGAGUACUAGCUGUCGGGGGUUACCCCCCUCGGUGGCGCAGCUAACGCAUUAAGUACUCCGCCUGGGAAGUACGCUCGCAAGAGUGAAACUUAAAGGAAUCGACGGGG
RNAcentral lists this ribosomal RNA (394 nucleotides) under uncultured bacterium. Its description in RNAcentral is "partial 16S ribosomal RNA". It matches the Rfam family "Bacterial small subunit ribosomal RNA", at positions 523 to 918 of the family's 1533-position model. The record is from RNAcentral.